RNAcentral lists this ribosomal RNA (301 nucleotides) under uncultured bacterium. RNAcentral's name for it is "partial 16S ribosomal RNA". It matches the Rfam family "Bacterial small subunit ribosomal RNA", at positions 509 to 808 of the family's 1533-position model. The record is from RNAcentral.
CAGCCGCCGCGGGAAUACGUAGGUCCCGAGCGUUGUCCGGAUUUAUUGGGCGUAAAGCGAGCGCAGGCGGUUAGAUAAGUCUGAAGUUAAAGGCUGUGGCUCAACCAUAGUUCGCUUUGGAAACUGUCAAACUUGAGUGCAGAAGGGGAGAGUGGAAUUCCAUGUGUAGCGGUGAAACGCGUAGAUAUAUGGAGGAACACCGGUGGCGGAAGCGGCUCUCUGGUCUGUAACUGACGCUGAGGCUCGAAAGCGUGGGGAGCGAACAGGAUUAGAUACCCGUGUAGUCCCUGUCUCUUAUACA